Molecule: long non-coding RNA, 3135 nt
Organism: Cornus florida
Lineage: Eukaryota; Viridiplantae; Streptophyta; Magnoliopsida; Cornales; Cornaceae
Exons: 3
Source: RefSeq, a predicted model, not a curated record
UAAAUGAUAUAGAAAAGUGCACAAGAGAGCUGAGAGUUUAUAGACUGAACCGAGAGCUCCCAGAGAUGGAUUUGGUGACUUGUUUAUUUUCACAGUGUACCGAGGAUGAACUUGGAUUGUUAGUAGCGGGCUUAGGUGGAAGAGUUGGUGUUGAGGAUUUAAAUUAUUUUAUUUAGAGAUUUUUAUGUAUUUAUUUGAGGAAAUUGAUUUAGUAUCAAUUUAAUUAAUUUGAGAUGUCUUAUUUAUAUGAGGAAAUUUGAUUGAUUUUGUAUCAAUAAAGGGUAUUUUAUUUCUUUUGAGAUCCUGGUGUCUUUUAUGAAGUAUUUUGAUUUAAUGAAAUCGAGACUUUUAUUUAGAGAAAAUUCGGGGCGUUACAUAGUUCUAAGUGACAAACAAACCAAAAAACUCUACACCUCUUUCAUCAAACAAAGUGAUUUUAGCGACCUUGGUUGCCAUAAACUUGUAGUCCUUGUGGAUUGAUUUACCCCUAUGAUAGCCCUAUUUUACAAUGAUUUGUGCUAUUGCAAGGGUUUAUUAAUUUUAGUAGACGUUUGUCGACCGACCAAUUUUUGGCGCCGUUGCUUGGGAUUGCAAACGGUUUUGUAACCAAGGUUCAAAGAUUAACUUUAGUUUCAUUGUGAAUAUUGUGUUCUUGUGGAUAUUUUCUUGUUUGGUUUUGGUAAUAUUAUGUUUUAAGUAUUCUUGUGAGAUUCUAGGAAUAUGAGGCUUGCCGAGGGAAAACUGAAAAUAUCGUAAGUCUAGAGGACUCCAGGUUUUUAAAUUCAAGUUUGGGGGGGUGCUCUUGGAAUUCACAUGGUGGCAUAUUUUACACCGCCACCAAUUCUCCUCCUCUCCUUGGUAUUAUUGUUCUUUGUACCCUCUUUAUUUUUUCAUUUCCCUUUCCAUCAUUUGUCUUCUCACAUUGAGGGCAAUGUGACAUUCAUGUUUGGGGGUACAUUUUGGUUUUGCAUGUUUCCAUUUUUGGUAUUACAUUUUUGUCUGCAUGUGGUAACUUGUUCAUAUAAGUUAAUAAAGUUAAUUUUUGGGAAGCAAUGAUCUUGUAAUCUUGGAACUUGUUGGAGAUUGAGGCACGUGUUUAAAACUUUGUGUAGAGAGGCUAAUGAUAGUUUUUUUUUUUUUUUUGAAAUAAGGAGCAUCUAAAAAAAAAAAAAAAAUCUAAAAUGAUCAUGUGGAUUCAAAUUGGUUUAUAUAAAUGCUUUAAUUAGAUUUUCGUCGGAUUUCAUACUCUUCUAUGCUUCACACUUCACAGAUGCACACCGAAAACUUAAUUGUGAGGCAUGUAACCUGAUUUACCUUGACAAUGACUCAGUUGAUUUAAAAUGAUGACUCCUAAUGAAUGGAUAUCUUUGGCAUUGAUCUAAAAAAAAAAAAAAAAAAAAAAGAAGGAAAAUGACUAGUUUAAGUUCGUAGCCUUGCUAACUCAAGUUAUUAAGCUUUUGGAGUGUCCUUACACUUAGCACCCUAAAGCCAUCCGGUUUGGGAGUUGCUGGCCUAACACUUGCUACAUGGGUUAGUCAGAAAGCUUAAGGGACUUAGGCAUUGCACGAUUAUUCACGAAAUAAAAAUAAAUAAAUAUGGUUCGUUGGAGUUCGUAGCCUUGCCAACUCGAGUUAUUAAGCCCUUGGAGUGUCCUUACACUUAGCACCCUAAAGCCAUCCAGUUUAGGAGUUGUUGGUCUAACACUUGCUACAUGGGUUGGUUAGAAAGCUUUAGGGACUUCGGCAUUGCAUGACCAUAAUAUGUAUCUAAAAAAAAAUGUGUAUUUUGAAUAAAUCAUGCCUUAGAGACCUCAUUUAAAAGGGAAAUUCAAUUAUUUAAAGACUUGUGUUCUUGAAAUGGGAAAAAGAAGGUAAAAGCCACAUAUUGGGAAUUUGGUUCACUUUUAUUGAAGUUAGAGUUGAUUUCUUUUAUAAAUAUGACAAUUGAAGUAUUUAUAUAGACUAUGAUGUUGAUACAUGAGAAUUGAAGUAUGUUUAGCCAUUGUGUUAUAUCAAGGCUUCAUAUACGCAAAGUAGUCUGCAAAAUGAUUCCGUCUCCAAUGUUUUAUCUGUUCUAAGUUACAAUUGAGUUGUGUACAUUUUCUUGCAUCAUGUUUGAUAUUUUUGGGUCACAAUUCAAUUUUUAUCAUUUUGAUAAGUACUUUAUUUUGGUUUUGCUAUGGGACUAGCAAAAUGUAAGUUUAGGGGUGUGAUAAGCGCCAAAUAUUGCAUAUUCAAGUGCCCUCAUUUACAUUAGUUAAGUCCAUUAGUUGAUCCUACUGUAUAGAUUAUCUUCAUUUGCAUGAUUUUGUUUUCUUUCAGGUUGUUUCCCCAAAUAGAUAUAAAAGUGAAGCUUUGUGAGUUCUUGAAGAUCAAAUCAUGCCGGGUCGGGGAUUUGUUAAUUUUUCCAAGCUAAUAUAUACCAUUGAACUCAUGGCACUUUCUGCAAAGCCUAAGAAGGAUGAUUGCAUCUUUAGGUCAAGCCAAAGCUAAUUCAGUAGAGAAGUGAGCAUGGCAGCACCAUGGUGGGCACCCACUAUCCAUAUGCAAAUCCUACGGGUGCUCGAGGGUAGAGACUUCGAAGUUUGGCGAGGCCCCGCCAUUUGCCAUCUUGACACCCCACGGCAGCCCCCUUGACACCUCGCGGGCGCCCGCCCUGCGAUACGGGCGCCCGGCAAUUUGCAGACAACAAAGCAUGGGCUGCAUUAUUUCACCCAAUGCUGCCCCUUGACCCAAUGGAUGGCUCUGCACUCUUCUAGGGAUUUCUAGCCACAAAAUUAAUUAAUUUUGGGAGGAUUUUUGGCUCAUAAAAAGGCCUUGUAUGUUUGUAAAGAGAUAUCUCACUUUGUAAGGUUUUUAGAGAGAGAAAUAUUGUUCUUGAGAGUUUAUGAGUUAUUCUUGACUGCUAAGUGCGAAAAUGAAGGGGAGGAUCUUAUCCACACCUUGUUCCUUUGCAUCUAUGGGUAACUAACUCCCUUUCUAGGGAGGUGAUGAAGCCCUUCUUUGUAAGCAUGCUCUAGUUUUGAUUUUAAUUUGGGGAAUGAAGUGUGUAUAUGGUAUUUCAUAAUCUAGAGCACUUUACAUGUUGUAUUAGAUAUUAAUGUCUAUAAAUGAUCAUUUUGAGUUGAUUAUUUUA